This 1261-nucleotide ribosomal RNA is filed under the name Lactobacillus. RNAcentral describes it as "bacterial SSU rRNA". It matches the Rfam family "Bacterial small subunit ribosomal RNA", at positions 87 to 1335 of the family's 1533-position model. Lineage: Bacteria; Bacillati; Bacillota; Bacilli; Lactobacillales; Lactobacillaceae. The record is from RNAcentral.
UUGAGUGAGUGGCGAACUGGUGAGUAACACGUGGGAAACCUGCCCAGAAGCGGGGGAUAACACCUGGAAACAGAUGCUAAUACCGCAUAACAACUUGGACCGCAUGGUCCGAGUUUGAAAGAUGGCUUCGGCUAUCACUUUUGGAUGGUCCCGCGGCGUAUUAGCUAGAUGGUGGGGUAACGGCUCACCAUGGCAAUGAUACGUAGCCGACCUGAGAGGGUAAUCGGCCACAUUGGGACUGAGACACGGCCCAAACUCCUACGGGAGGCAGCAGUAGGGAAUCUUCCACAAUGGACGAAAGUCUGAUGGAGCAACGCCGCGUGAGUGAAGAAGGGUUUCGGCUCGUAAAACUCUGUUGUUAAAGAAGAACAUAUCUGAGAGUAACUGUUCAGGUAUUGACGGUAUUUAACCAGAAAGCCACGGCUAACUACGUGCCAGCAGCCGCGGUAAUACGUAGGUGGCAAGCGUUGUCCGGAUUUAUUGGGCGUAAAGCGAGCGCAGGCGGUUUUUUAAGUCUGAUGUGAAAGCCUUCGGCUCAACCGAAGAAGUGCAUCGGAAACUGGGAAACUUGAGUGCAGAAGAGGACAGUGGAACUCCAUGUGUAGCGGUGAAAUGCGUAGAUAUAUGGAAGAACACCAGUGGCGAAGGCGGCUGUCUGGUCUGUAACUGACGCUGAGGCUCGAAAGUAUGGGUAGCAAACAGGAUUAGAUACCCUGGUAGUCCAUACCGUAAACGAUGAAUGCUAAGUGUUGGAGGGUUUCCGCCCUUCAGUGCUGCAGCUAACGCAUUAAGCAUUCCGCCUGGGGAGUACGGCCGCAAGGCUGAAACUCAAAGGAAUUGACGGGGGCCCGCACAAGCGGUGGAGCAUGUGGUUUAAUUCGAAGCUACGCGAAGAACCUUACCAGGUCUUGACAUACUAUGCAAAUCUAAGAGAUUAGACGUUCCCUUCGGGGACAUGGAUACAGGUGGUGCAUGGUUGUCGUCAGCUCGUGUCGUGAGAUGUUGGGUUAAGUCCCGCAACGAGCGCAACCCUUAUUAUCAGUUGCCAGCAUUAAGUUGGGCACUCUGGUGAGACUGCCGGUGACAAACCGGAGGAAGGUGGGGAUGACGUCAAAUCAUCAUGCCCCUUAUGACCUGGGCUACACACGUGCUACAAUGGAUGGUACAACGAGUUGCGAACUCGCGAGAGUAAGCUAAUCUCUUAAAGCCAUUCUCAGUUCGGAUUGUAGGCUGCAACUCGCCUACAUGAAGUCGGAAUCGC